Zootermopsis nevadensis is the source of this 372-nucleotide non-coding RNA. The record is from RefSeq and is a predicted model, not a curated record. NCBI's taxonomy places the organism in Eukaryota, Metazoa, Arthropoda, Insecta, Blattodea, Termopsidae.
CGACUAAUAACUCCACGUUCCAUAUUUAAAGACGUACGGGGCAUUUCUUAAUUCAGUUUUAACAAGACAGUGGCACGUGCAUUUCGGUCGCCAUGAAUACGCUCCUCUUCCUUCUCGUACUUGCCAGCGCCACGGCUCUCAAAUUACCUAACUACGUAAAGAAAUGCUCCAUUAAGGACCAUAAUUUCAACACGUGUGCCCUGGAGAGCGCCAAAUAUGCUUUGCCACAUCUCAUCAAAGGUUGGUGUUUCCAAGUUCCAGCAGUGUUCUCACAUUAAUUUCUGAAACUAGUAUCAAAAAUAAAUGCAAGUUUCUUUUAAUUACUUACAUACCUGAAUGCAUGUCUUUCAAAUAAAUUAUCUGAUUUCGGAA